UCACUGUAACGCCCUGAGUGUUGCGGAUGUUUCGCAGAAGUNGACCGAACUUGAUUAUUUAGAGGAAGUAAAAGUCGUAACAAGGUUUCCGUAGGUGAACCUGCGGAAGGAUCANUAAAGUUCUCCUUUCAAGUUAUAAACAAAAACACAAUAUAUAAAAUACUUAUAUUGUAAAAUUAUGGCAAAUGCCAAAAAGAAACAAAAUAACAAUAAUAAAAAUGUUUAUUAUUGUAUCGCCUCCUAGGCAAAAAAGUAUAGUAUAAAGUGUUUGUGUGUGUUACACAUUACACAAAAAUUGACUUAUUUAUAUAAAAUUUGUAAAAACUGAAAUUGUGUGGACGUUAUACAAAAUUAAUUUGUAUAGAAAAUGUCUAAAAAUUUGAAAUACAUAAAAUUAUAGUUGUACUUGUAUAAAAUUGAAAAGUAAUUUUUUAUAUAAGUCAAUCAUUGUUCGUUUUUUAAGAACUUGAGACAUUCGCAACAAAAAUUUUAUGUUUUAGUUAUAAAAGAGAAGAAUAAUAAGCAAAAAUUAUUGAAGGAAUUGAUAUAUGCCAAUUUGAAG
This 562-nucleotide ribosomal RNA is filed under the name Belvosia sp. Woodley04A. RNAcentral's name for it is "partial ribosomal RNA". The stretch from base 1 to 117 matches the Rfam family "Eukaryotic small subunit ribosomal RNA", at positions 1721 to 1831 of the family's 1831-position model. The record is from RNAcentral. Lineage: Eukaryota; Metazoa; Arthropoda; Insecta; Diptera; Tachinidae.